RNAcentral lists this ribosomal RNA (549 nucleotides) under Triticum aestivum (bread wheat). Its description in RNAcentral is "partial small subunit ribosomal RNA". The record is from RNAcentral. Lineage: Eukaryota; Viridiplantae; Streptophyta; Magnoliopsida; Poales; Poaceae.
AUGCAGAAAUCCAAGAUGCAUCGCGUGAUUUGCCUAGACACCAAAAUCAGAAAUGUUCUCCAGGGGAAACAGUUUCGGAAUUUUACAGUUCAGUCGAGGCAGAAGAAUGAGGUUGUUCACCUGAAAUCGGAAAGCAUGAGUAAGUUUGGCGAAUCCACAACACAAGAAAGUGCCACCUGUUCAUGCAACAAACCACAGCUGCUUCACAAGCCCUGCACUCAUGUCAUCGCCGUCUGUUGUCAGAUUGGUGUUAGCACUGCUACAUACAUGUCUCCAUACUACAGCCUGGCCUACCUAGGUAGGAUCUGGAGUGGAAAUUUUGAUGAAUAUAAGAUCUCGCGUGGUUACAGAAAUAUCACGCCAUUUGAAUGCAAUACAACAACUUGGAUCCCAGACAAAAGGUUGGAGUGUGGUCUUCCUGUUUUUGUAACAUCGGACUGCCUAGAAACUGUUGCAGAUGAGUCAGAGCAACAAUGCAACACUGGAAAUGGAUCAACUGAAGACAAUCAAGGAGCGACAACACGCACUGAAGAACCUAAUGAGAUUUAA